Molecule: ribosomal RNA, 253 nt
Filed under: uncultured archaeon
Lineage: Archaea
Description: partial 16S ribosomal RNA
Rfam family: Archaeal small subunit ribosomal RNA
Source: RNAcentral
AACCAGCACCUCAAGUGGUCAGGAGGAUUAUUGGGCCUAAAGCAUCCGUAGCCGGCUCUGUAAGUUUUCGGUUAAAUCCAUGUGCUCAACGCAUGGGCUGUCGAAAAUACUGCAUAGCUAGGGAGUGGGAGAGGUAGACGGUACUCGGUAGGAAGGGGUAAAAUCCUUUGAUCUAUCGAUGACCACCUGUGGCGAAGGCGACUAACUGGGCCAUUUUUGACCCUGAGAUACGAAAGCGUGGGUAGCAAACAGG